This 253-nucleotide ribosomal RNA is filed under the name uncultured bacterium. Its description in RNAcentral is "partial 16S ribosomal RNA". It matches the Rfam family "Bacterial small subunit ribosomal RNA", at positions 524 to 776 of the family's 1533-position model. The record is from RNAcentral.
UACGUAGGGUGCGAGCGUUAAUCGGAAUUACUGGGCGUAAAGCGUGCGCAGGCGGUUUUGUAAGCCCGAUGUGAAGUCCCCGGGCUUAACCUGGGAAUGGCAUUUGGGACUGCAAGGCUGGAGUAUGGCAGAGGGGACUAGAAUUCCUGGUGUAGCAGUGAAAUGCGUAGAUAUCAGGAGGAAUACCGAUGGCGAAGGCAGGUCCCUGGGCCAAUACUGACGCUCAUGCACGAAAGCGUGGGGAGCAAACAGG